This 395-nucleotide long non-coding RNA is filed under the name Cucumis sativus (cucumber). Its description in RNAcentral is "long non-coding RNA (CSAT_LNC000118)". The record is from RNAcentral. Lineage: Eukaryota; Viridiplantae; Streptophyta; Magnoliopsida; Cucurbitales; Cucurbitaceae.
CAACUCGAUCCCAUUGUUGUUAGAGAAAUCGAAGUUUAAACCAUCUUGGUUUACACUUGGAUCUUCCCCAUCCCUGCUGCCAGUGGCACUGCUGCUCAUAGGGAUAAUCUUCUGGUCAUGGCACCCAUAGUUCGUGAAAUUAUUGAUAUCUUCAGGUCUGCUGACUUCCCAAACCCCAUUACUAUUCUUCCUGAUGCCAAGUUUCAGACCACGAUCUGAUCCACCUUCCUGCUUUAUCUGCUUCAGUGCUUCCAUCUUUGGUUUAACUUCCUCAUUUGAAACACACAAAGUGCCCUCAGGGGAGUGCCACAUGCAAAGAUCACCAAGAUCCCUGCGCUCACUUUCACUUUUUGACCUCACACGCCAGAAACCAUCAGGUUUGACCUCAAUUUCUG